CACGUCAGCGCGCUUUGCUGAUGUGGACACAAAUAGUGCUAACGUGGACACUAUUUGUGUCCACGCCAGCAAAGCGCGCUGACGUGG
Molecule: non-coding RNA, 87 nt
Organism: Gossypium hirsutum (cotton)
Lineage: Eukaryota; Viridiplantae; Streptophyta; Magnoliopsida; Malvales; Malvaceae
Source: Rfam